Molecule: long non-coding RNA, 412 nt
Organism: Armigeres subalbatus
Lineage: Eukaryota; Metazoa; Arthropoda; Insecta; Diptera; Culicidae
Exons: 3
Source: RefSeq, a predicted model, not a curated record
UACAAAUAUAACACAACAUUCUCGGCUUGUUAAGUUAAACUUUUUUAUUAAAAUACUAUUCUUAAUUAAGGAUACAUCGAAGAAAAACUACAAUUGUUACGAAUAAGACGGAUUGUAAACGAAGAGGAUUAAAAUUCUAAAAGCUUACUCUAAACUUAAAAAUACGAGUUUGUCUUGAGGAAGUCCGAACGACUUCACCGUCUCCGUAACAAAACUUUUAGAAUUUUAUAUUCUUAAGUUGUUCUUCGUUGGACAUUCAUCGAGUAGAUAGAACAUAACCAUGUCCCACUCGAGUCAGCAUCAGUGCAUCAUAUGCAACCAACCAAAUGAAGCAGAUCGGAAAAUGGUUCAAUGUGACGUCUGCGACCGAUGGUACCACUUCAUGUGUGCCGGAGUCAACGACAGUAUUGAG